RNAcentral lists this unclassified non-coding RNA (1218 nucleotides) under Hevea brasiliensis (rubber tree). The record is from RNAcentral. Lineage: Eukaryota; Viridiplantae; Streptophyta; Magnoliopsida; Malpighiales; Euphorbiaceae.
UAUAGAAUCUAUUAGUAAAAUAACUCCCAAUAGACAUUUUUACCCAGUUACACAGAAUAAUAUCUCUUAUUUAUUAUUCAAAUGAUACGAGUGAAAGAAAUGACUCAAAUGAAAGUGAAAGCCGGCAUGCCCGACAACCACAUAAAUAUUAAUAUUUUAUAUGUUAAUUUUAUUUGAUUCAAAAGCUUCCGCAAUACCGUAUAACAUCGAUUUGCCAACACAACAUGGGUCAAAUUGCUCCCACAGGUUCGAAAUUAGAAAUAUCAUAGAUACCCAUGGCAGGUUUCCAGUGUUCAAAAAUUGAGGCAACACUACUACAAAUCUGAGGCCGACGUGCCAACUUGGUCCCAGAAAUUAUUUAAUGCACCUUUUGGUGCAUUAAAAAUCAUGCACUCUUCCAAUCAUUAACAUGUGGAGAUUAACAAGUUAGUUUCCCGACUUCACAGCCGCAUAUUCGUUAGAAAAUGGAACUUACCAAACAUAGAGGUUACAAAAACGUACAGUCGAUGAUGCAGAAGAUGGGUGACAAGGGAAACAGAAUUACAUGCACAGUUUAAUGAACUGCUAUUAUUUAAUCAUAAAGGACAAGCACAGAACAUUCUAAUCCAACUUCCGAUCAUCAUCACAUGCAACAAAAGAAGCAAAGACCACACCUAUUCCAUCAACAACCAAACCACUGCAAAUUUCCCAGUAAUGAAAAAUACGCAAAAACUGAAAAGCGCGCAGGUUGUCAGCACCAUCCUCUACAUCCAAAGGCUUAAGCCUCAGCAAACCCCAGCUCGGAGAGCUUCACAUGGGCCUCAGCAUAAUCAGCAAAGAAUGCAUCUUCAUCCUGCGUACAGAAUUAGUGAUAAGUAUCAGCUCCCAGCAAUUAGCAAUUGUCAAAUGAUUGAUUUUUAGCAUCAUCAGCACUUCAACUUGGUUUUAAAAUAAAAAUACAUACAGCAGCAUAUUUUUCAACAUAUUGGCGGAAGACGGGAUCAGCAAUAAGAGCCUUGUCACUUGGCAAUUGUAGAAGGCCUUCUUUCUCUCCAGUCAAUAGCUCCCUAACAACAUUAAAGAAUGCACAGCAUCAGUUACUACCUUAAUUAUAAACACAACACAAUUUUUCUAGUUACUAAGGGCCUCUUUGGCAUUGCUGUUGAAACUGUUGUUGAGAAAAUCACGUUUUUUAAAUAAACUAGUUAAAGAGUUUUAAAAAAUAAUUAAAAAUUAAAU